This 301-nucleotide ribosomal RNA is filed under the name uncultured bacterium. Its description in RNAcentral is "partial 16S ribosomal RNA". It matches the Rfam family "Bacterial small subunit ribosomal RNA", at positions 509 to 808 of the family's 1533-position model. The record is from RNAcentral.
CAGUCGCGCGGUAAUACGUAGGGCGCAAGCGUUGUCCGGAAUUAUUGGGCGUAAAGAGCUCGUAGGCGGUCUGUCGCGUCUGGUGUGAAAUCCCGAGGCUCAACCUCGGGCUUGCAUCGGGUACGGGCAGACUAGAGUGCGGUAGGGGAGACUGGAAUUCCUGGUGUAGCGGUGGAAUGCGCAGAUAUCAGGAGGAACACCGAUGGCGAAGGCAGGUCUCUGGGCCGCAACUGACGCUGAGGAGCGAAAGCAUGGGGAGCGAACAGGAUUAGAUACCCGCGUAGUCCCUGUCUCUUAUACA